RNAcentral lists this long non-coding RNA (397 nucleotides) under Mytilus galloprovincialis (Mediterranean mussel). Lineage: Eukaryota; Metazoa; Mollusca; Bivalvia; Mytilida; Mytilidae. The record is from RNAcentral.
CUUAGAGGAGCUGCUGUAUACUAGAAAAAAUGAUGUUGAUGAUUUAACCCCAUCAAUUAGCAUUUUAGCAUUACAUUAUUGUCAAUUGCUAUCUGCUCUAUUUGUUCCAACCUGUUAUGAGAGUCAAAAUGUAUACCUAGGGUGGGAAUUAAACCCAUGUACGUUCAUUUACUUUAUUGUUCUUUGUGUACAUAAAAUGUACAUGUACAUGAAAUAUAUCAAAUGCAAAAAAUGCUGUAAUGUAUCAUUACACCCUCACUAGUUAAGGACCAAGUAAAGGAAGUCCCUGCACCUACCUAGACGUAUUUCUUGGGUAAGAUGUAUUAUAUAACUCUUGAAAGUAUAACACGAUAAAGGUUAUUGGUAAGUAUAUAGUAACAUCAACGUGCAAUUCAGG